Long non-coding RNA from Gasterosteus aculeatus aculeatus (three-spined stickleback), 355 nucleotides. NCBI's taxonomy places the organism in Eukaryota, Metazoa, Chordata, Actinopteri, Perciformes, Gasterosteidae. The record is from Ensembl.
GUCCUGUUUCUAAUGACGUAGCUGAAUUGGAAAGACACGUGGUUCCAGCAGAAAUUGACAAUUGGGUGUGGUAAGGAGGUAGAGGGCAUAGGAGCUUGAACCAUGAAGUCAGCUGGAAAUUGCUGAAAUAACGUCAAAAAACGUAAAGCUGAUCAAUCACAUUGAAACGCGGCGUGCCGCUGUCUGCUGCGGGUCCAAUCAGGAGGCACCGUGCACCCCGCUAUCAAGCGCAGCAGCACUUCGGCACGUGGACAUCCAAAGGCAUGAGGAGAAAAAGCUCGGUCACAGCAGCAUGACCAUUUCAACAAGGACUUAAUAUUACUUCCAAAUCCAUCAUGGGGAAUAGUGUGCAGAC